RNAcentral lists this ribosomal RNA (850 nucleotides) under Escherichia coli. RNAcentral describes it as "partial 23S ribosomal RNA". It matches the Rfam family "Bacterial large subunit ribosomal RNA", at positions 419 to 1268 of the family's 2925-position model. Lineage: Bacteria; Pseudomonadati; Pseudomonadota; Gammaproteobacteria; Enterobacterales; Enterobacteriaceae. The record is from RNAcentral.
GGGACACGUGGUAUCCUGUCUGAAUAUGGGGGGACCAUCCUCCAAGGCUAAAUACUCCUGACUGACCGAUAGUGAACCAGUACCGUGAGGGAAAGGCGAAAAGAACCCCGGCGAGGGGAGUGAAAAAGAACCUGAAACCGUGUACGUACAAGCAGUGGGAGCACGCUUAGGCGUGUGACUGCGUACCUUUUGUAUAAUGGGUCAGCGACUUAUAUUCUGUAGCAAGGUUAACCGAAUAGGGGAGCCGAAGGGAAACCGAGUCUUAACUGGGCGUUAAGUUGCAGGGUAUAGACCCGAAACCCGGUGAUCUAGCCAUGGGCAGGUUGAAGGUUGGGUAACACUAACUGGAGGACCGAACCGACUAAUGUUGAAAAAUUAGCGGAUGACUUGUGGCUGGGGGUGAAAGGCCAAUCAAACCGGGAGAUAGCUGGUUCUCCCCGAAAGCUAUUUAGGUAGCGCCUCGUGAAUUCAUCUUCGGGGGUAGAGCACUGUUUCGGCAAGGGGGUCAUCCCGACUUACCAACCCGAUGCAAACUGCGAAUACCGGAGAAUGUUAUCACGGGAGACACACGGCGGGUGCUAACGUCCGUCGUGAAGAGGGAAACAACCCAGACCGCCAGCUAAGGUCCCAAAGUCAUGGUUAAGUGGGAAACGAUGUGGGAAGGCCCAGACAGCCAGGAUGUUGGCUUAGAAGCAGCCAUCAUUUAAAGAAAGCGUAAUAGCUCACUGGUCGAGUCGGCCUGCGCGGAAGAUGUAACGGGGCUAAACCAUGCACCGAAGCUGCGGCAGCGACGCUGAUGCGUUGUUGGGUAGGGGAGCGUUCUGUAAGCCUGCGAAGGUGUGCUGUGAGG